Benincasa hispida (wax gourd) is the source of this 2868-nucleotide long non-coding RNA. RefSeq lists it as uncharacterized. The record is from RefSeq and is a predicted model, not a curated record. NCBI's taxonomy places the organism in Eukaryota, Viridiplantae, Streptophyta, Magnoliopsida, Cucurbitales, Cucurbitaceae.
GUAUGAACAGAUAAUGCCAUCUUGGGUUUUCUUCCAAAAUCAUGCGAUUCGGAUCUGAUUGUGUAAUAAUAUUCGAAAUGAAUUGCUUCUACAGUGUUCAUCUGUGAUGAAAUAAAGCAUUUUGUCAGAAAUCAUUUCACCCCAUGGAUUGAUCCUCCCCUUGAUAAUGUUUAUUUGCAUUAUAAAAGGGCUGUCUGAUGCCGGCAUUAAAUAGAUUUCGGAUUCUAUCUGCCAGAAAUUGAAAUGUUGGUUUGCAUUAUCUGUGUUACAAUUAUGCCGUGAGGAUAUCCUGAGGAUGUGGCUUUCCUGUUUUUGUUCAUCAGAAUCGACAAGCCUCCAAACUUUCUAAGCCCCUGAUAUCAAGAGAUGUUAAGAUGUGUUCAGUUACUAUUGCUGACAAGAUUAUUACUGAUGCUAGAGAAAGUGCUAUAGAGGAAUGGAUGAUAAGGCUAUGAUACUCUCUGACAUUGUUGCAUCAGUAACCAUUACAGUGGCUUUCUUUCUUUCCCUAAUGUAUGCACCACAGUGCAAAUGGGGGAACUACAAUUUCCUUUCUUUCUUUCCCUAAUGUAAUUCUAGUUAUAUUUGCUUAAAAUCUGCUCUGCCUAAAGUUCAUCUUAUUUUUCUAGUUCGUGUUAUAAGGCCAAUUAUCAUUUUUCAAGUAUGCCAAGAUGAAAACACACCAACCUCAGAGGAAAAAAGGGUCCAGCUUUCAUACUGAUACUGCUGUUUCUUUCUUCUAUUCAAUCGUGAUUGCCUUCAAGGAUCUUGUUGCAGGUAGUUCCAGGGAUCAUAUCUAAUAAUGGUAGCACUUAAGAUUUGGGAACGACAGGGGUUAGUGAAGGAUGGCAAUUUCAAAUUCGCUGUUUAGGAUUCGGUAGCAGAAAAACCUAACUAGUCCCACACAGGACGGUACAUUUAGCAUUUAUGAGAGAUCAACUAACCAUGCCACAUGCUUACUCUUGAGUUGUUGAAGGCCUUAAAGGCGUACCAAUAAAAUUUUGAAUGUUUGUGUUAGGUAUCCAUAUUGCAAUAGGAAAAGUUACAAUAUAAACUAGUAAUUCAAGGUACUUGCACCCUCCUCUUGGAUCUCUCUCAAGUCCUAAUUUACUAACUGAAAUGCCUAACUCUCUCCUUCCUCACUUUAUUUAUAACCAAAUCACAUAACAGCCUCCCUAUCUAAAUACUAAUAUACCUUUAUAAUAUCCCUUUAAUUGCAUAUAGUGGCUUUUGUCUCUAGCUAUCAAACUUUUCUGGGAGCAAGAAUCUGGUUAGAGAAUUGAUUGGUGAGUAGUAAGUUCUCUAUACAAGACAUCCGAGGGCUGCUGGCUUGUAUAACUCGAAAUCGAGGUGGGAAAUUGCAGUAGCCACUCAAUGUGUUCUAAGUUUUUCUGUUGAUGUUUACUUCUAGGUUGAAGUCCUAAUUGCACAUGGAUGUCAAUAGGCCUCGGGCCUGAGAAAUGGGCUUGUCUUUUUAUCCCUUAUAAUUUUUUCUAAUGUACAUAUGCACUUUGUACGAGCUACCUGCUUUGGACCAAUAAAUGAUUUGGAAGUAGAUUCUGAAAAUACCAAGCUGAAAAGAUAGGAAAAAAAAACCUAUAGCAGACUAUUUUAGUGUAGAAGGAAAAGAAUCUGAAUUUCUGAGUUUUUUCCAAUUAAGAAAAGUUAGCUGAAGUUGGUAUGCUGACAUUGAUAGGUGGUUAUUGUAUGUAGUUGUGUUAGUUGUAAUGUACAGUCGGUCAAGAUCUUUGUCAAAGAGGUUUAAUCAAGCACUUAAAAGAAAAGGCCAAGGAAGAGGUAGUUUAUACUUUAUUGUGAACUGCUUGUUGGGGAAGACGUCAAGUAAGAAAACAGAUUAUAAUUGCUUGCAAGUUAUAGUUUUGUUUUCAUAGUCAAAUCUGUUUAUAAGACUAAUUGUGCUUAGCAUCUUUUUCAUUGUCCAGAGAUUGACAAAAGGGCUGAAUGGAUGACAUUGAAGAUGAGUCAAUAAUAGAUGAAGAAUCCAGGAAGUUGCCAUCAGAUAUCUUCAUAGAUAAUGCUAGAUUGAGGAAACCACUCUCUUCUCCAAUUACGUCAUGCUGUCAGAACAGAAUGAUUGGAUCCGAGAAAGUUGAUUGGGAGGUCAUUUCACGAGAUGCUCUUUCUUGUAAAUGAUGACAAUUCCACAGCAAAAAGAAAAAAGCUGAACAGUGAAACAUGACAAAUAGGAAAAAGAAGAUAAAAAAAAGAAAGGAUCAUGCAUAAAGCUUCAUGUUGGCAGAGCAAUUCUCCAAAGGAAAUUAAUGGAUUAUUACCUUAGGUUUGUUCCCCCACUAUGAUUGUGUUGUAUUAUACUGUAUAGGCUAAUAAAAGAUUAAACAAAACAUAUAAAUUUGUCUUUAGUAGCCUUCUUAUGAUGAUGAUGAUGAUGAUACAUAUAAUUUACAAUAAAACUCUCUACAUUUUGACGUUUUGAAUACCAUGUUUAAGUUCUUAAACCAUCUAAGAAUUAAAGGAAUCGAUCCCACAAGUAAACCAUGGCAUAUAAGGAAAGAGGAACAGUAGUGGGAAAAGGUACAAAAAGGAACAGAAGGAAAAACUAAGAAAAAAACACAAGAAAAGAAAGAAACGACACAAAUUGGAUCCUAUUCAUGUACAACAAAUGAGACAUCAUGGAUUUUUUUGAAUAUCAGAAUCUGAGAAUAGUUUGUUCAUUCAAGAUUUUGUUGAAAUAACAGCCUGGGGAAAGGACAAGAUAAUUUAGCACUAAAAAAUAGUACAAUGGACCCAACACUUUCAAUUCAUUGCUGCUCAAACUUUGGAUGCAGGAAUCAAAUCUCUCUCUCUCUCUCUCUCUCUCUCUCUCUCUCUCUCUUUGUCUCUGUCUCU